This 497-nucleotide ribosomal RNA is filed under the name uncultured bacterium. Its description in RNAcentral is "partial 16S ribosomal RNA". It matches the Rfam family "Bacterial small subunit ribosomal RNA", at positions 28 to 507 of the family's 1533-position model. The record is from RNAcentral.
GAUGAACGCUGGCGGCGUGCCUAAUACAUGCAAGUCGAGCGAACGGACGAGAAGCUUGCUUCUCUGAUGUUAGCGGCGGACGGGUGAGUAACACGUGGAUAACCUACCUAUAAGACUGGGAUAACUUCGGGAAACCGGAGCUAAUACCGGAUAAUAUUUUGAACCGCAUGGUUCAAAAGUGAAAGACGGUCUUGCUGUCACUUAUAGAUGGAUCCGCGCUGCAUUAGCUAGUUGGUAAGGUAACGGCUUACCAAGGCAACGAUGCAUAGCCGACCUGAGAGGGUGAUCGGCCACACUGGAACUGAGACACGGUCCUGACUCCUACGGGAGGCAGCAGUAGGGAAUCUGCCGCAAUGGGCGAAAGCAUGACGGAGCAACGCCGCGUGAGUGAUGAAGGUCUUCGGAUCGUAAAACUCUGUUAUUAGGGAAGAACAUAUGUGUAAGUAACUGUGCACAGAUUGACGGUACCUAAUCAGAAAGCCACGGCUAACUACGUG